Molecule: long non-coding RNA, 2504 nt
Organism: Heterocephalus glaber (naked mole-rat)
Lineage: Eukaryota; Metazoa; Chordata; Mammalia; Rodentia; Bathyergidae
Source: Ensembl
GAGCAUCACUGUAUUUCACUGGUGAAAAUGUGCUACCUGGGACUGGCAAGCAUUUUAUCUGCCUUACUAAGACACUUGCCCUUUAAGGGGUGAAAGAGUAACCCCAUGAACAUCUGGGAUUAUUUCCUACUGUGAAGUUUCUAGGGACCUAUGGUCAAAAGAUGUCAGGAAAGAGUGACAGACUGCUACAUCUUGCAUUUCCUACUACAAAGAAGGAGAAACAAUUCUGAUGGACCCGUGCAUUUUAAAGAUAACAUAUACUACACUUGGGUGUGCUGCUCUGAUGCCCCAUGAUGCUGCCAGAUUUCAGAGGCACCAGGUCAAGAAACUGCUUGUAGUGCAAGCUGCUAUGCCCCAUGACUGAGGAGACCCAAUGUCAGGGGCAAUGUUGCUGUAGUUGAUAUGAAAUGCCUCCCAGAGCUUGUUUAGCUGUAAACGACUCUAAUGGGAUUACAUGGAAACCUAGAGGUAUGCAGGUAAAGCCUUUCUGCUUACAGCCAUUCUCCACUGGGAAGGUAGCUCUGUGCUCACUACUAGGCUCUGGCAGACACUGAACUCCUGGUCAUAAGACACCAAGUACCUAUGGGUGCAGAAGCAUCAUAUGUAGAUGUAGCUCAUCUACAAAGCUAAGCCAAAGCAAACUGCAAAAAUUGGUAAUUGGUUAAUUUUACACAUCGGCUUGGCUGGGCCAAUCUGACCUAGAGAGUUGGUCAAAUAUUACUGUCAAUGUUUCUGUGCAGGUGUGUUUUAGAUAAGAAAUACAUGUACACUGGUAGGUGCUGAGUACCCUUCAAACUGUGGGUGGGCCUCAUUGGGUCAUCUGAAGACGUGAACAGAACAAAAAGUUGACUUUCCUCAAGCAACAGGGAAUCUGCCAGCCAUCUGCCUUUAGAUCCAAACUAUAAUUUUUCUCCUGAGUCUCAGCCUGCCAACCCAUCCCAUCAGAUUUUGGACUUACCCAGCCUCCACAAGCACGUGAGCCUGAACACUGGCGCAGGUUCUGGGGAACCCUAAAAUGCAGAUACACAACACAAGCUCUUGGAACCUGCUCUCGCUGCUUUGCUGCCUCUCGGCAACACACAUGGAGAUUCCUCUAUGACUGAGUAAGUAGGAGAGAGGAAACCAGGCCUAAGGACAUACAACGUCAGCCAGAGUGGGUGGCAGUGUCGUCACACCCCAGUCAGAGGUCGCGGAAGACAGCAUGAACUCCUCCAGGGUGCAGCACUGGCAUGGUACCUGUGAGUUUCACUGCAAUGGAAGGAGGGAGCUUCUGGAAGAUGGAUCUACACAGGUUCAUAAGCAGAGACUAAUGGGAUGGCCAACUAGCCAGGGACCUAAAAAACAAGACCAGAAGAAGGUGGCAAGGAGCACUGGGCAGGGCUGUGCAGAGAGCUGUGUAGGCACCAAUCCUGAAGGAUCUUCAACCUACCUGGUGCCCGCCAGAGGACAUGCCCAACCUCACCCACUGGGACGAAGGCUAUUGUAGUCUCAACAACACGCAACCCACAGGAGAGGGCAGUGCUGAGCUCCCUGAUCUGAAGGGCCAGCCACCUGGUGGCAGUGGGUGGCACUGUAUCCCUUCCACCCUGGAGCAGUGACUUGUGGCUCCCUGUAUGAAUAGAUAUAAUUUCCACACGUGUUUGCUUCCUAGCACUCUGCCAGCAGCACCUUUGCUUAUCCAUCACUCCAGGCCACACUGCGAACAGGAAGUGCACUCUAAGGCAAAGACCAUGCAGCAGAGUUCAUUCUAAUUCAAUUAAAUUCAGGUGGCCCUUCUCAGGUCUUGCCAUCCAGAAGCAAUGGUUUUGGUGCCUGGUAGAAGACAACAUUCCGCACAGCUAGGAUGCCAUCCUGUGGGAGGUGGCACACACCUCAGACCAGCAGCCAAUACAGAGCCUGCCUCACCUACCCAGAUGCCCAAAACUGGUAAUGGAGGUUAGGAGUGGGCGCCGCUUCUCCUUGCUUCAUCCUCCUAAGGGAUGUUCGCUUCUGAUUCCUGCAACCUUGUGCUCAGUGAUCUGGAGGUCUCGGUGCCAAGGGAAGAACAAGGGAAUGCAGCCACUGCGUUCACAUCAAAAUGCAAGCGAGGGCUGCCUUCUGACCACCUCAGCCUGGUGACUGAGUGGCAGGAGAGGUGUUUGGUCUGCCUGUCAGGGAGAAGCUGGGUUGCCACUACACGACAAGGACAGAGAGCACCAUGUGCAGAAUCCACGAUUUCAGAGGGCACUCAGGAUUCUCUUACCUCAUCUACUGUCAGCGAAAGAUCGUGCUACGACCAAUAAAGACAGGAUGCUGACUACAAACAAAGGAGGGGAAAGAACCCUGAUUCAUUCCUCCUAAGGGAAUGUCAAAGAGGUGCCAAAAGCAGCAAGUACUAUUAGCUUGAGCUUCAUAAGCAGGUUUCAGGUGGGAUCUGCCAUCAUUCAGUACCUGACAGGACUUUAUGCGUCCCUGUGCUGGGCAUCGGAUUCUUCAUCCAGACAGUGGCGAGGGCAGUAGCUGCC